This 439-nucleotide ribosomal RNA is filed under the name uncultured bacterium. RNAcentral's name for it is "partial 16S ribosomal RNA". It matches the Rfam family "Bacterial small subunit ribosomal RNA", at positions 339 to 795 of the family's 1533-position model. The record is from RNAcentral.
CUACGGGAGGCAGCAGUGGGGAAUUUUGGACAAUGGAGGAAACUCUGAUCCAGGGAUACCGCGUGGGUGAUGAAGAUUUACGGAUUGUAAAGCCCUUUUAGUAGGGAAAAUAAUGAUGGUACCUACAGAAAAAGCAUCAGCUAACUCUGUGCCAGCAGCUGCGGUAAUACAGAGGAUGCGAGUGUUAUUCGGAAUCACUGGGCGUAAAGGGCGCGUAGGCGGUUAUUUAAGUCCGCAAUGAAAUACCGGGGCUCAACUUCGGUGCUGUUGUGGAUACUGUUUAACUAGAGAACGGAAGAGGUGAAUAGAAUUCCUGGUGGAGAGGUGAAAUUCUUAGAUAUCAGGAGGAAUGCCAGAGGCGAAAGCGGUUCACUGGGACGUUUCUGACGCUGAGGCGCGAAAGCGUGGGGAUCAAACAGGAUUAGAUACCCCCGUAGUC